UACGAAGGGGGCUAGCGUUGCUCGGAAUCACUGGGCGUAAAGGGUGCGUAGGCGGGUCUUUAAGUCAGGGGUGAAAUCCUGGAGCUCAACUCCAGAACUGCCUUUGAUACUGGCGGACUCGAGUCCGGGAGAGGUGAGUGGAACUGCGAGUGUAGAGGUGAAAUUCGUAGAUAUUCGCAAGAACACCAGUGGCGAAGGCGGCUCACUGGCCCGGUACUGACGCUGAGGUGCGAAAGCGUGGGGAGCAAACAGG
This 253-nucleotide ribosomal RNA is filed under the name uncultured bacterium. RNAcentral describes it as "partial 16S ribosomal RNA". It matches the Rfam family "Bacterial small subunit ribosomal RNA", at positions 524 to 776 of the family's 1533-position model. The record is from RNAcentral.